This 253-nucleotide ribosomal RNA is filed under the name uncultured bacterium. Its description in RNAcentral is "partial 16S ribosomal RNA". It matches the Rfam family "Bacterial small subunit ribosomal RNA", at positions 524 to 776 of the family's 1533-position model. The record is from RNAcentral.
UACGGAGGGUGCAAGCGUUAAUCGGAUUUACUGGGUUUAUAGGGUGCGUAGGUGGACAUUUAAGUCAGCGGUGAAAUCUCCGGGCUUAACUCGGAAAUUGCCAUUGAUACUAUUUGUCUUGAAUUAUCUGGAGGUGAGCGGAAUAUGUCAUGUAGCGGUGAAAUGCUUAGAUAUGACAUAGAACACCAAUUGCGAAGGCAGCUCACUACGGAUAUAUUGACACUGAGGCACGAAAGCGUGGGGAUCAAACAGG